AUUAGAUGUGAGAUGAUUGUCUUUAGAUGUGAGAAGGUGUCAGACUGUAGUCUUUUCAAAGUCUGUUCAAAGUCUUCAAAUAGACUAUGAAAAGGCAUUUGCUAAAUUUG
Etheostoma cragini (Arkansas darter) is the source of this 110-nucleotide long non-coding RNA. RefSeq lists it as uncharacterized. The transcript is spliced from 3 exons. The record is from RefSeq and is a predicted model, not a curated record. Lineage: Eukaryota; Metazoa; Chordata; Actinopteri; Perciformes; Percidae.